This 253-nucleotide ribosomal RNA is filed under the name uncultured bacterium. Its description in RNAcentral is "partial 16S ribosomal RNA". It matches the Rfam family "Bacterial small subunit ribosomal RNA", at positions 524 to 776 of the family's 1533-position model. The record is from RNAcentral.
GACAGAGGGUGCAACCGUUGCUCGGAAUUACUGGGCGUAAAGCGCGUGUAGGCGGGCUGAUAAGUCGGACGUGAAAGCCCUGGGCUCAACCCAGGAACUGCAUCCGAAACUGUCAGUCUGGAGUGGUGGAGAGGGAAGCAGAAUUCCUGGUGUAGAGGUGAAAUUCGUAGAUAUCAGGAGGAACACCGGUGGCGAAGGCGGCUUCCUGGACACUAACUGACGCUGAGACGCGAAAGCGCGGGGAGCAAACAGG